GAGAGCGCCACCAAAAACAGCAAGGGUCCCAAGACUGUGCCCUGUGGCACCCCGCUUGCUAUUGGUGUCUUUCCCGAGAGGGCUCCAUUGGCUGCAACCAUCUGGCUUCUGUCCUUCAGGAAGUCAUGUAUCCACUCACCUACUUUUCCUGUUAUGCCGAGUCUGAGUAAUUUGUGACAUAUCACUCCGUGGUCGACUUUGUCAAAGGCCUUCGCAAAGUCGAGAUAUACCACAUCCACCUGUGAGCGAUCCAGUAGUUGUUUCAGUACCCAGUCGUAGUGUUGUAACAGCUGCGUAAGGCAGCUUCUUCCUGGGCGAAAGCCAUGCUGUGUGUCAGUGAGACGGUUAGUUUCUUCGAGGAACGUGAUCAGUUUUUUUCUGAUGAUUCGUUCCAUGACCUUACUUAUGUGUGACGUCAGGGAGACUGGCCUGUAGUUUUUGGCCUCUGCUCUACUCCCUCCUUUGUGGAUAGGGCAUAUGGUGCCUUCUUUUAGCGCCCUGGGCAGUUUACCGUUAGCCAAGGAACCACUGAAGAGCUUCUUCAGUGGUCCCGCUAGGGCAUGCCUGCAUGUUUUUAGGAGGACUGCUGGGAAUCCAUCUGGUCCAGCAGCUGAGUUUAUUCUCAUUUCUUCUAUGGCAGAUAUUACAUCCCUCUCUGUUAUGUCUAUGUGGUCGAUGGUUGUUGUUUGGUUUUGGAGUGUUGUGGCAUCAAAGAAAACUUCUGGGUUUGUGAUUUGCAUGUGCCCCAGAGGGGAUGUGAACACACUUUUAUACUGUUCCUUUAGUAUUUCACUUAUCCCUUGGGGGUCCUCAGUUAGAGAGCCCUUUUUAUCAAAGAGUGGGCCAAUCUUGCAGUGUACCGAGGUGGUUUCUUUCGCAAAUUUAAAGAAGGCUUUAGGGUUUGUUUUAAUAUUCUCUAUGGCCCUGGCUUCUCUCUCUGUCCUCUCCUUCUCAUAGGAAAGUUUGAGUGCAGUUUCCGUUUCAAAAAGUUUCAGGUGGAGUCCCUCAUUGUUUCUCUGCCGUGCAUUCAGUUGCUUCGAGAGCUUAGCUCUUCGCCUCAUAAGUAUUUUCCUGUCUCUGGGAAUAACGUUCCUAUGCCCGCUGGCUUUUUUCUCCGGGACAAACUUAUGGCAUAUGUUCUGUAUUGUUGUCAUGAAAUGUUGGAAAUGUGUGUUGGUGUCUUGUGUGGUGAUGAAGUCACUCCAGUCAUGUUUUCGGAUCUCUUCGUUGAUCUUCUUCCAGUUUGCCUUAUGGAAGUUUAGACUGGAUAGGCCUGUGGUAUUUUCUAAUGGCUGCGUCUCAACUAACUCUCUCAUACCAUAUAUCAUUACCUCUACUAAGUUGUGAUCUGAGAGAAUUGUUGGUGUUACCAUUAUGUUGUGGAUGAGCAUCGGGUUGCUUGUGAAACAGAGGUCCAAGACAUUCUCACCUCUUGUUGGCCAAAGCACUGCUUGCUCCAUGAAAAACUUGCGUGUGAGAGCCAACAAGGACUCUGUCUGUCUCUGUUCAAGUGAUGUCAUUCCAGGGAGGAGAUGGCCAUCUGGCCAUUUGACUUUCGGAAGGUUAAAAUCUCCCAGCAGUAGAAUGGUGUUACCCUGGUCCAGUUUGUCCAGGACUUCUUCUAUUCUUCUGAGGCUAUCUUCAAACACUCCUUCAUGACUAGGGGUGUCUGGUGGCCGAUAUGUGACACAUAUUACUAUUUUCGGUUGUUUCAUGUGUACUAUCAGUGUGUCACAGACUGAGUUUGAGUGUGUCAAUAGUACUAUGGGUGUGACAUCUUCACGGACGUACAGGGCAACCCCACCAUGAGUUCUUUCCUUCCUGUCCGACCGAAAAACAGUAUACUUCGGUAUGUGUAUUUCUGCAUCUGCUAUACUGCUUGACAGGUGCGUUUCAGUCAGCGCUAUGCAUAUUGCAUGGUUGCUUGUGCUCAAGUCCCGAAGGUAAGGAAUUUUACCCAUAUUAGUGGGUUUCACCAGACCUCUGACAUUCAGCAGAAGCACUGGUGAGACACCCGGGGUGUCAAUAAAGGCUGACGGUGUGGCACCUGGGCCGGCGUCAGCGGUGGCCACCCUGGGUCCCUUGAUUGUGGUGGUCUUGAGUGCUGUUGUGAGUGCCCCUGGCUCUGAAGACGAUGUAUCCAGGCCAGUUGUCCCACAAUUUUCUCUGCCAUUUCCACAAAAUUUCUUUGUUCUGCUGCCGCCGUCUGCAUUUCCUCUGCAAAUGUGCGCCUUCUCCUUGUUGGGGCAUUACGCACUAUGUCUGCAUAUUUCUGGGGCAGCUUGUAUUUGUUCUGGUUUUGGUUAAGGCAUUUUGGUCGAGUGGGUUUGAUGCAAUUUCCAUAGGGCCUGGGAUGAGCGAACCUGCAUCCUUCCCCUGUUUCUCCAUGCCAGCAGGUUCCAUUCCGGAAGAAUUUGCAUGUUAUCUGGGUUUUCUUGUCCCCAGUUCCUCUCUGUUUUUUCUUCCUCCGUUGGACGGUUGUCCACUGGUUCCUUUCUGCAUAGGUCUUUUCAUCCGGGUGGUUAUUUUCUGUUUCCCCAUCGCCGCCUAUCUGUUGUUUGCCCUGCUUGCCUUCUUCGACUGUGGCAGUGGGCGUGUCAUUUUUUGACACUCUGUGGUUGGUGUUUCCUGUUUCCAUCUCUCUCUUUUGUCUUUGUCCACCUUGAGGACUUGGCUUAGCAAAGCCAUGUGUGGUGCAAUGAGAGUGUAGGCCCUUUCGACUUCUCUUUUCUUCCUCUCUACUUGCGCCAACGUCCUCAUAAAGCCAUGGCUUUUCAGGGUCGCCGCUAUGUUUUUAGUUGGUUGCGAUCUGUCGGCCGAGCUCCAUCCUCUGAUGAAAACUUCCAGCUCUACUUUCGUCCAGUUACGCUGGCUUUUGUUGACGCCAGUGUUUGCAUUCACCUCUAAUUUUUGCAUGUUGUCCAUUCCGUUGUAGCGGGGAGAGAGAGAAGCUGUGAGGGAAAAAGGGAGAAGGGAGGAGAGAGGAAGAGAUUGUGAUUGUGAGGAAGGGAGGAAUUAUAUUAUAUUAUAUUAAUUUAUAUUAAUCUAAUAGUGCAAUAGGGGGUAGGGAGAAAGUAGAGAAAGGGAGCGUCUAUGUACUUAAGGAGAAAUUGGGAGCCGAGAGUAAGAGAGAAGAGGAAGAGGAGAGACUGAGAGCUGAAGGAAGAGAGAGAAAGCGUCUAUGUCCUUAUAUGUAUCCGAGAGAGGAGAGUAAGUUAGAAGAGAAAGGGAGCGUCUAUGUACUUAAGGAGAAAUUGGGAGCCGAGAGUAAGAGAGAAGAGGAAGAGGAGAGACCGAGAGCUGAAGGAAGAGAGAGAAAGCGUCUAUGUCCUUAUAUGUAUCCGAGAGAGGAGAGUAAGUUAGAAGAGAAAGGGAGCGUCUAUGUACUUAAGGAGAAAUUGGGAGCCGAGAGUAAGAGAGAAGAGGAAGAGGAGAGACCGAGAGCUGAAGGAAGAGAGAGAAAGCGUCUAUGUCCUUAUAUGUAUCCGAGAGAGGAGAGUAAGUUAGAAGAGAGAAAUGGAGAGACAAGGAGAAGCGGGAGAGAAACUGAAGAGACAGAAGAGAGUAAUGGAGAGACAAAGAGAAGCGGGAGAGAAACUGAAGAGAUAGGGAGAGAAGGAAGAAAUAUAGAGAGAAUUUAUAUAUUUGAAAGAGGGGAGUAAGAUAGAAUGAGAGCUAUGAAGAGACAAGGAGAAGCGUGAGUGAGAGAAACUGAAGAGACAGACAGAGAGAGAGAGAGAGAGAGGGGAGAAUUCUAAGCGAAGCUAUUUGUACACACACACACACGCGUAUACAUACACACAUAUACACAUGUGUGCACAUGCACAUAUAUAAACAGUAGUACCAAGUGAGUAUAUAAAGAAACAAUAAUAAUAAUAAUGAAAUAGCUGAAAGAAAACAAUCCAAGAGAUUUUACAGAAUUUAAGCAGAGAAAAAGAGAAAAGAAAAUAUGUAUUUGUCGCUACAGACAAUGUAUUCUAAAAUAAAAACUAAUUGCGACUAUACUUUUAACACACACAUAUACAUACACAUAGAGAUUUUACA
RNAcentral lists this long non-coding RNA (4044 nucleotides) under Octopus vulgaris (common octopus). The record is from RNAcentral. Lineage: Eukaryota; Metazoa; Mollusca; Cephalopoda; Octopoda; Octopodidae.